CAGCCUGAAGUGAUGAAUGAGUUCAUGUCUCUUCUCUGAGAUGGAUCCUGGAGACAUCUAUAUUCAUUCCUGAUCAGGCUG
Chaetura pelagica (chimney swift) is the source of this 81-nucleotide non-coding RNA. The record is from Rfam. Lineage: Eukaryota; Metazoa; Chordata; Aves; Apodiformes; Apodidae.